This 305-nucleotide ribosomal RNA is filed under the name uncultured bacterium. RNAcentral's name for it is "partial 16S ribosomal RNA". It matches the Rfam family "Bacterial small subunit ribosomal RNA", at positions 505 to 807 of the family's 1533-position model. The record is from RNAcentral.
ACAGCAGCAGCCGCGGGAAUACGAAGGGUGCAAGCGUUAAUCGGAGUUACUGGGCGUAAAGCGUGCGUAGGCGGUUUGUUAAGUCUGUUGUGAAAUCCCCGGGCUCAACCUGGGAAUGGCAAUGGAUACUGGCAAGCUAGAGUGUGUCAGAGGAUGGUGGAAUUCCCGGUGUAGCGGUGAAAUGCGUAGAGAUCGGGAGGAACAUCAGUGGCGAAGGCGGCCAUCUGGGACAACACUGACGCUGAGGCACGAAAGCGUGGGGAGCAAACAGGAUUAGAUACCCCAGUAGUCCCUGUCUCUUAUAC